GACGUAGGGCGCAAGCGUUGUCCAGAUUUAUUGGGCGUAAAGAGCUCGUAGGCGGCUCGUUGCGUCGGCUGUGAAAACCCGCAGCUCAACUGUGGGCUUGCAGCCGAUACGGGCGGGCUGGAGUUCGGUAGGGGAGACUGGAAUUCCUGGUGUAGCGGUGAAAUGCGCAGAUAUCAGGAGGAACACCGGUGGCGAAGGCGGGUCUCUGGGCCGAUACUGACGCUGAGGAGCGAAAGCGUGGGGAGCGAACAGG
RNAcentral lists this ribosomal RNA (253 nucleotides) under uncultured bacterium. RNAcentral's name for it is "partial 16S ribosomal RNA". It matches the Rfam family "Bacterial small subunit ribosomal RNA", at positions 524 to 776 of the family's 1533-position model. The record is from RNAcentral.